UGGAGCUAUGGAAACAGCAGACAUCGCGCCGGAGCCUGCUGGCCUCCCAUCUGGAGCCUCACAGACACUGAAGGAUGCGACACAAAAGGAGCCAAUAAGAAAUGGAAAUGGAGUCAAAGAAGAGGAAGUCGUUUCCCGAGAUGCAUCUGUGAGAGUGUCUGGCAGGUGGAAGGGAGGGAACGAGCAUCAUUGAACUUCUACUACUCUGUCUCUGCUACAGCACCUCAUAUGCACUGCCUCGCUCAAGCCUCGUACCAUGAGGUUGUUCAUAUCAUGGACGACUGCGGCUGCUCUCUGUGUGGUGAGCUAUGGUGCUCUACAGACCGGUCACCUCCGACACGACUGAAGACCCGAAGGGACACGUGCUCUGGCGGCUCCUACCUGCUUCAGAGAAGGACCGAGCCUUGAUUCUCAGAGGAGCAAAAGCGUACGCAGGCAGUCCGGCACAAUCAUUGCCACUUUUCCACUUCCAUGUUGGUGACAUCAGGUAACAGAUACAUGGGACAUAAUUAAAAAUAAACGAGAAAAAGGUUUCCAUGGUUCACGAAAGCAGUAGGAGUAUUGUGAGGAAAGCUUAGAAGCAUUUAUCUGCUGCUACCCAAAAUUUAGCAUUUGACUUUAAUUAUGCCUCCUUAGGAAUUAAGCAAAGCAGAAAAUGUUUCAACACGACCAGCUGCUGCAGAUCCAAACUGUUUCACGGGUGAACUUUUUAUUUCAUCUUUUCUGUUGCUUUUUCAUCAUGCAAUAAACCCCACUCGUAACAGA
This is a long non-coding RNA of Herpailurus yagouaroundi (jaguarundi), 765 nucleotides long. RefSeq lists it as uncharacterized. The transcript is spliced from 3 exons. The record is from RefSeq and is a predicted model, not a curated record. NCBI's taxonomy places the organism in Eukaryota, Metazoa, Chordata, Mammalia, Carnivora, Felidae.